GCCCCCGUUGUCUAAUGGUUAUGACGUCAGACUUCUACGUUGAUUACGUAAUCGGAUCUGGAGGUUGCGGGUUCGAGUCCCGCCGGGGGUU
Molecule: non-coding RNA, 91 nt
Organism: Mycena galopus ATCC 62051
Lineage: Eukaryota; Fungi; Basidiomycota; Agaricomycetes; Agaricales; Mycenaceae
Source: the annotation of a GenBank genome assembly